UUUAUUUGAGAGUUUGAUCCUGGCUCAGGACGAACGCUGGCGGCGUGCCUAAUACAUGCAAGUUGAGCGAUGAAGAUUGGUGCUUGCACCAAUUUGAAGAGCAGCGAACGGGUGAGUAACGCGUGGGGAAUCUGUCCUUUGAGCGGGGGACAACAUUUGGAAACGAAUGCUAAUACCGCAUAAC
This 184-nucleotide ribosomal RNA is filed under the name Lactococcus cremoris subsp. cremoris TIFN1. Its description in RNAcentral is "Lactococcus lactis subsp. cremoris TIFN1 partial 16S ribosomal RNA". It matches the Rfam family "Bacterial small subunit ribosomal RNA", at positions 1 to 177 of the family's 1533-position model. Lineage: Bacteria; Bacillati; Bacillota; Bacilli; Lactobacillales; Streptococcaceae. The record is from RNAcentral.